GCCCCGGUGGCACAACUGGAUAGCGCGGCCGCCUCCUAAGCGGCAGGUUACAGGUUCGAUUCCUGUCCGGGGCGCCA
RNAcentral lists this transfer RNA (77 nucleotides) under Gammaproteobacteria bacterium. Its description in RNAcentral is "tRNA-Arg". It matches the Rfam family "tRNA". Rfam says of the family: Transfer RNA (tRNA) molecules are approximately 80 nucleotides in length. Their secondary structure includes four short double-helical elements and three loops (D, anti-codon, and T loops). The record is from RNAcentral. Lineage: Bacteria; Pseudomonadati; Pseudomonadota; Gammaproteobacteria.